AAUGAACGCUGGCGGCGUGCUUAACACAUGCAAGUCGAACGAGAAAGGGAUUGCUUGCAAUCCUGAGUAGAGUGGCGCACGGGUGAGUAACACGUAGAUAAUCUACCUUCAAGCCCGGGAUAACUAUUCGAAAGGAUAGCUAAUACCGGAUAAAGUAUGUAGUCAUAAGACGACCUAUGAAAGUUUGCCGAUCCUUGGAAGCAAAUGUUUGAAGAUGAGUUUGCGAACCAUUAGUUUGUUGGUGGGGUAAAGGCCUACCAAGACUGCGAUGGUUAGCUGGUCUGAGAGGAUGAUCAGUCACACUGGAACUGGAACACGGUCCAG
Molecule: ribosomal RNA, 324 nt
Filed under: uncultured bacterium
Lineage: Bacteria
Description: bacterial SSU rRNA
Rfam family: Bacterial small subunit ribosomal RNA
Source: RNAcentral